Molecule: ribosomal RNA, 402 nt
Filed under: uncultured bacterium
Lineage: Bacteria
Description: bacterial SSU rRNA
Rfam family: Bacterial small subunit ribosomal RNA
Source: RNAcentral
CAAGUCUUGACAUCCCCCUGAAUAUAGAGGUAAUGCUUUAUAGCCUUUCGGGGCAGGGGAGACAGGUGGUGCAUGGUUGUCGUCAGCUCGUGUCGUGAGAUGUUGGGUUAAGUCCCGCAACGAGCGCAACCCUUAUCCUUAGUAGCCAGCAGUAAGAUGGGCACUCUAGGGAGACUGCCAGGGACAACCUGGAGGAAGGCGGGGAUGACGUCAAAUCAUCAUGCCCCUUAUGACUUGGGCUACACACGUGCUACAAUGGCGUAAACAAAGGGAAGCGGCCCCGUGAGGGUGAGCAAAUCCCAAAAAUAACGUCUCAGUUCGGAUUGUAGUCUGCAACUCGACUACAUGAAGCUGGAAUCGCUAGUAAUCGCGGAUCAGAAUGCCGCGGUGAAUACGUUCCGC